RNAcentral lists this long non-coding RNA (1422 nucleotides) under Homo sapiens (human). RNAcentral describes it as "HSALNT0040404". The record is from RNAcentral. Lineage: Eukaryota; Metazoa; Chordata; Mammalia; Primates; Hominidae.
AGAGAAAGUCUCCUGCAUCUUGUGCUCCCUUACCACUUUUUGCUUAAUAGAUUUUGUUGUUUCAAAUUCUAAAAGGAAGGAAAUUAAUUCUUAACCAAAUGAUAUUUCUCAAACAGGGUCAGUGCCCUCUCUUGGGGUGCAAAUCCUAUGUAUCUUAUUCCAACGAGUAACUCUGUAGUUAAUCAUUGAUACGGCAAGUUCAGGCUUUUGCUCUUCCUCUUUGAACAUCAGUGGGUGCAUUUUAUUUCUCUCUCUUGCUCUCUCUCUCUUUUUUUUUGUUUUUUUUAAAGCAGGAUUAAGGAAGCCAAACUCUCAGCCUCAUGAAGAAAGAGCUCAUUUAUUGCAACUAAAAUAUCUUUUCUUGGAAGGCCAUGACCUCAGAAAAGUAAGCACUUUACUUUUUCUAAGGUAGCGAAUAUUUCUUCUCUCUUACUUCACACAAGUAUUGAACCAUAUAUUAUUCCUGCUUGAUCCCCUGAUCUGUUCACUCCUGGCUCCUUGUUCCUCUCUCAUUUUCAAGUGAGAGCUUCAAAUUGCACAGGAAUUCCAACUGCCCCAUUCCUUUUACUGUUGACAUUUCUAUGAGCUUCAAGUACUCAACGAGAAUUCUGUUUCUGUGUGUUUACCAACUGAAUUGGCAUGGACAGAAGGGCACAUACCCCACACCAUUUGCAGGAACUAUUUCUUAUGAUCAGUAAUUUUAAAGCAAUGCACCUCCUCGGGCUCUUAAAUAUGUCAUCCCAGGAGCUGCUGCUCCUUUUUUCCCAUCUCCUUCAUCAUCCAUGUGUCAGACAUGCCUCAGGCCUGCUGGGCAUCUGCUGUUUAUCAGUGGGCCCCUCUCCACCCCCAGCCUCCUGGGAAAGCCCUCUGAGGAGUGAAUUAUUGGAAACACAAGCAUUCACAGAGAAUACAAUGCAAAUAUUUUAGUUCCCAGUUUGGCAGAAACAGGUAGUGAACUAACUGAAGGUUUACUCACUGAAGGCUUGUUCAUAGCCAAAAAUAAAAACAAAAAAUAAGUAACUUCUCUGCAUCUGUGGUUACUAAAGUCCUCUGGGAGCUUAAAAAGAUAUCACCAUGUAGUACAGUGUUAUUCACCUAUCCAAGUUCAUAGAAGAUUCCAGUCUCUGCACCAAGUGUUUUCCAUCUAUAACAGGGAUAAAGUUUUAGAGGUGAUGGUAUCAGAAGGUGAAGACUUAGGGAGGUGAUUAGGUCAUGGGCGCAGAUCCACAUGAAUGGGAUUAGUGCCUUUAUAAGUCACUCAAGAGAAAGCCCUCGCCUCUUCUGCCAUGUGAGGACACAGUGAGAACGUACCAAUUAUGAACCAGAAAACAGACCCUCAGCAGACAUGGAAUUUGCUGGUGCCUUCAUCUUGGACUUCCCAGAUUUCAGAAUGGUGAGAAAUAAAUUUUUGUUUUUUAUAAG